AGAACGAACGCUGGCGGCAUGCCUAGUACAUGCAAGUCGAACGAACACUUCGGUGUUAGUGGCGCACGGGUGCGUAACGCGUGGGAAUCUGCCCUUGGGUUCGGAAUAACAGUUGGAAACGACUGCUAAUACCGGAUGAUAUCGAAAGAUCAAAGAUUUAUCGCCCAGGGAUGAGCCCGCGUAGGAUUAGCUAGUUGGUGAGGUAAAGGCUCACCAAGGCGACGAUCCUUAGCUGGUCUGAGAGGAUGAUCAGCCACACUGGGACUGAGACACGGCCCAGACUCCUACGGGAGGCAGCAGUGGGGAAUAUUGCACAAUGGGCGCAAGCCUGAUGCAGCAACGCCGCGUGAGGGACGAAGGCCUUCGGGUUGUAAACCGUCUUUAGUAGGGAGGAAGGGUUGUAACUUAAUAC
This 412-nucleotide ribosomal RNA is filed under the name uncultured soil bacterium. Its description in RNAcentral is "bacterial SSU rRNA". It matches the Rfam family "Bacterial small subunit ribosomal RNA", at positions 26 to 465 of the family's 1533-position model. The record is from RNAcentral.